GUCUAUGGCCAUGCUGCCCUGAACAAGCCCGAUCCCGUCUGAUCUCGCAAACUAAGCAGGGUCGGGCCUGGUUAGUACUUGGAUGGGAGACCACCUAGGAUUACCAGGUACUGUAGGCA
This 119-nucleotide ribosomal RNA is filed under the name Pteropus alecto (black flying fox). Lineage: Eukaryota; Metazoa; Chordata; Mammalia; Chiroptera; Pteropodidae. The record is from RNAcentral.